GGAUUGUAAACUUCUUUUAUUAAGGACGAAAAAUGACGGUACUUAAUGAAUAAGCUCCGGCUAACUACGUGCCAGCAGCCGCGGUAAUACGUAGGGAGCAAGCGUUGUCCGGAAUUACUGGGUGUAAAGGGAGCGCAGGCGGGAAGACAAGUUGGAAGUGAAAUCUAUGGGCUCAACCCAUAAACUGCUUUCAAAACUGUUUUUCUUGAGUAGUGCAGAGGUAGGCGGAAUUCCCGGUGUAGCGGUGGAAUGCGUAGAUAUCGGGAGGAACACCAGUGGCGAAGGCGGCCUACUGGGCACCAACUGACGCUGAGGCUCGAAAGUGUGGGUAGCAAACAGGAUUAGAUACCCUGGUAGUCCACACCGUAAACGAUGAUUACUAGGUGUUGGAGGAUUGACCCCUUCAGUGCCGCAGUUAACACAAUAAGUAAUCCACCUGGGGAGUA
This 446-nucleotide ribosomal RNA is filed under the name uncultured bacterium. Its description in RNAcentral is "bacterial SSU rRNA". It matches the Rfam family "Bacterial small subunit ribosomal RNA", at positions 420 to 882 of the family's 1533-position model. The record is from RNAcentral.